Molecule: long non-coding RNA, 850 nt
Filed under: Gallus gallus (chicken)
Lineage: Eukaryota; Metazoa; Chordata; Aves; Galliformes; Phasianidae
Source: RNAcentral
AGCUCCCGCCCGCGCCGCCCAUUGGCCCGGGCGCGUCACGUGCCCGUGCCAUGCCGCCGGGGGGCCGCGGCCGCUGCUGAUUCAUUGGCUGUAGCGGGGCGCGGCUCGGCUCGGCUCGGCUGGGCUCGGCUGGCGCGGCGUUGCAGCUGCUGCCACCGCCGCGAGGCGGCGCCACAGCAGGCAGGAAGAUCGGAUACUUCUCAUACAAGACCUUGAGCUGCAUCUCACGUCCUGCACAUUUAGGAUCCUGUGAACUGGCAAAGAAGCACAGACCAUUUGGCUGAGUAUUUCCUGCAGACUCCUUUCUCAUCUGUGCUUGGAAGUGGCACAGCUUGCUCAAAACAAUAGCCGUAGGUUAGGGCUGUAGAAAGCUGGGAUCUGUAUGUUUUAGCUCACGCACAGCAGAGUACCUAAGUUUGUGCUUCAUUUCCUCAUUGGCUUCUUUGUGAUUUCAUCUCUUAGUCCUUGGGCUGGAGUAAAAAGAAAUGCAGUGGUGAUGAUGGCUGGUUCCUUUGCCCCCCAGCAUACAGAAUAUUGCUGCUAUUAUGGGGACUCAAGGUACAGGAACAGCCUGAGUUGUUAACUUGUUCUAACCAACAGCUUCUGGUUUAAUUGCACUGCCUAGACCACAGAGCUGGUGUAUCAAGCUUACUUAGCCUUGGACUCCUCCAUUCAAAAUGUUGCUGCUUUCUGUGCCUGUUUGGCUUCUGGGAUCUUCAUAGUUUGCAAGGGGCCAGCAGUUUGUUUAUUCUAUGAAGUCUAUCAAGUGUUCAGACUCUGCAGCAGUAAGCAGAAUGGAAACAUGAAAAAUGAACAUAGUUUUUGAUUGAAAAUGUGCCUCACUGCUUGC